This 24-nucleotide non-coding RNA is filed under the name Mus musculus (house mouse). The record is from RNAcentral. Lineage: Eukaryota; Metazoa; Chordata; Mammalia; Rodentia; Muridae.
UGAGAGCCUCUUGUUGAACCCCUU